UGGGGAAUAUUGGACAAUGGGGGCAACCCUGAUCCAGCAAUGCCGCGUGUGUGAAGAAGGUCUUCGGAUUGUAAAGCACUUUCGACGGGGACGAUGAUGACGGUACCCGUAGAAGAAGCCCCGGCUAACUUCGUGCCAGCAGCCGCGGUAAUACGAAGGGGGCUAGCGUUGCUCGGAAUGACUGGGCGUAAAGGGCGUGUAGGCGGUUUACACAGUCAGAUGUGAAAAUCCCCGGGCUUAACCUGGGAGCUGCAUUUGAUACGUGUAGACUAGAGUGUGAGAGAGGGUUGUGGAAUUCCCAGUGUAGAGGUGAAAUUCGUAGAUAUUGGGAAGAACACCGGUGGCGAAGGCGGCAACCUGGCUCAUGACUGACGCUGAGGCGCGAAAGCGUGGGGAGCAAACAGGAUUAGAUACCCUGGUAGUCCACGCUGUAAACGAUGUGUGCUAGAUGUUGGGUAACUUUGUUAU
Molecule: ribosomal RNA, 468 nt
Filed under: uncultured bacterium
Lineage: Bacteria
Description: partial 16S ribosomal RNA
Rfam family: Bacterial small subunit ribosomal RNA
Source: RNAcentral